AAAACUUUCAACAACGGAUCUCUUGGUUCUGGCAUCGAUGAAAAACGCAGCGAAAUGCGAUAAGUAAUGUGAAUUGCAAAAUUCAGUGAAUCAUCGAAUCUUUGAACGCACAUUGCGCCCGCCAGUAUUCUGGCGGGCAUGCCUGUCCGAGCGUCAUUU
RNAcentral lists this ribosomal RNA (159 nucleotides) under Trichoderma harzianum. RNAcentral's name for it is "5.8S ribosomal RNA". It matches the Rfam family "5.8S ribosomal RNA". From Rfam's summary of the family: 5.8S ribosomal RNA (5.8S rRNA) is a component of the large subunit of the eukaryotic ribosome. It is transcribed by RNA polymerase I as part of the 45S precursor that also contains 18S and 28S rRNA. Functionally, it is thought that 5.8S rRNA may be involved in ribosome translocation. Lineage: Eukaryota; Fungi; Ascomycota; Sordariomycetes; Hypocreales; Hypocreaceae. The record is from RNAcentral.